RNAcentral lists this ribosomal RNA (465 nucleotides) under uncultured bacterium. RNAcentral describes it as "partial 16S ribosomal RNA". It matches the Rfam family "Bacterial small subunit ribosomal RNA", at positions 28 to 507 of the family's 1533-position model. The record is from RNAcentral.
GACGAACGCUGGCGGCGUGCUUAACACAUGCAAGUCGAACGGAAAGGCCCUGCUUGCAGGGUACUCGAGUGGCGAACGGGUGAGUAACACGUGGGUGAUCUGCCCUGCACUUCGGGAUAAGCCUGGGAAACUGGGUCUAAUACCGGAUAGGAGCCAUUUUUAGUGUGAUGGUUGGAAAGUUUUUUCGGUGUAGGAUGAGCUCGCGGCCUAUCAGCUUGUUGGUGGGGUAAUGGCCUACCAAGGCGGCGACGGGUAGCCGGCCUGAGAGGGUGGACGGCCACAUUGGGACUGAGAUACGGCCCAGACUCCUCCGGGAGGCAGCAGUGGGGAAUAUUGCACAAUGGGCGCAAGCCUGAUGCAGCGACGCCGCGUGGGGGAUGACGGCCUUCGGGUUGUAAACUCCUUUCGCUAGGGACGAAGCUUUUUGUGACGGUACCUAGAUAAGAAGCACCGGCUAACUACGUG